RNAcentral lists this ribosomal RNA (368 nucleotides) under uncultured bacterium. RNAcentral's name for it is "bacterial SSU rRNA". It matches the Rfam family "Bacterial small subunit ribosomal RNA", at positions 29 to 395 of the family's 1533-position model. The record is from RNAcentral.
AUUGAACGCUGGCGGCAUGCCUUACACAUGCAAGUCGAACGGCAGCACGGGGGCAACCCUGGUGGCGAGUGGCGAACGGGUGAGUAAUACAUCGGAACGUGCCCGGUAGUGGGGGAUAGCUCGGCGAAAGCCGGAUUAAUACCGCAUACGACCCACGGGUGAAAGCGGGGGAUCGCAAAGACCUCGCGCUAGCGGAGCGGCCGGAUGUCAGAUUAGGUUGUUGGGUGGGGUAAAGGCCUACCAAGCCGACGAUCUGUAGCUGGUCUGAGAGGACGACCAGCCACACUGGGACUGAGACACGGCCCAGACUCCUACGGGAGGCAGCAGUGGGGAAUUUUGGACAAUGGGCGCAAGCCUGAUCCAGCCAU